RNAcentral lists this transfer RNA (73 nucleotides) under Marmota monax (woodchuck). RNAcentral's name for it is "tRNA.Ala". Lineage: Eukaryota; Metazoa; Chordata; Mammalia; Rodentia; Sciuridae. The record is from RNAcentral.
GGGGUUGUGGCUCAGCGUGGUAGAGUGCUCACCUGGCAUGUGCGAGGCCUUGGGUUCAAUCCUCAGCACCACA